This 26-nucleotide non-coding RNA is filed under the name Rattus norvegicus (Norway rat). The record is from RNAcentral. Lineage: Eukaryota; Metazoa; Chordata; Mammalia; Rodentia; Muridae.
UGGUUGACUUGAGGGAUGUCCUUGGG